RNAcentral lists this unclassified non-coding RNA (261 nucleotides) under plant metagenome. RNAcentral's name for it is "partial contains small subunit ribosomal RNA, internal transcribed spacer 1, and 5.8S ribosomal RNA". The record is from RNAcentral.
UUUCCGUAGGUGAACCUGCGGAAGGAUCAUUAUUGUAUAACCGAGGUGCGAGGGCUGUCGCUGACCCGAAAGGUCGUGCACGCCCGAGUGCCCUCACACAUCCAUCUCACCCCUAUGUGCACCACCGCGUGGGUCCCCCUUUGGCUUGUUCGGAGGGGGGCUUACGUUUUCACACAAACUUUGUAUGCAGUGUAGAAUGUAUUUUUUGUUUUUGCGAUCACGCAAUAAAUACAACUUUCAACAACGGAUCUCUUGGCUCUC